RNAcentral lists this ribosomal RNA (491 nucleotides) under uncultured bacterium. Its description in RNAcentral is "bacterial SSU rRNA". It matches the Rfam family "Bacterial small subunit ribosomal RNA", at positions 29 to 507 of the family's 1533-position model. The record is from RNAcentral.
AUGAACGCUAGCGGCAGGCUUAACACAUGCAAGUCGAGGGGCAGCAUGAGACGGAGAUUCGUCGAAGUCUUGAUGGCGACCGGCGCAAGGGUGCGUAACGCGUGAGCAACUUGCCCGUUUCUGGGGGAUAACCGGUGGAAACGCCGACUAAUACCCCAUAGUAUCACUUUUAGGCAUCUUUUAGUGAUUAAAGAAUUUCGGAAACGGAUAGGCUCGCGUGACAUUAGCUAGAUGGCGGGGUAACGGCCCACCAUGGCUACGAUGUCUAGGGGUUCUGAGAGGAAGGUCCCCCACACUGGAACUGAGACACGGUCCAGACUCCUACGGGAGGCAGCAGUGAGGAAUAUUGGUCAAUGGUCUGACGACUGAACCAGCCAUGCCGCGUGAAGGAGACGGCCCUAUGGGUCUUAAACUUCUUUUGUAAGGGAGCAAUAAGUCUCACGUGUGGGAUGAUGAGAGUACCUUACGAAUAAGCAUCGGCUAACUCCGUG